GAUGAACGCUGGCGGCGUGCUUAACACAUGCAAGUCGAACGGGAAAUAUUUCAUUGAGAGUUGGGUGGGUUUGAUUUAUUUGUAGGGGCGGCCGGGGUAGUAACGCGUGGGUAUCCUGCCUUCUUCAGGGGGAUAACGGUCAGACAUGGCUGCUGAUCCCGCAUAAGGGCGCAGAGCUGCAUGGCUCGGUGGGUAAGAGUGGGGUGGUAUAGGAUGGACCCGCGUGGGAGUUGCUGGUUGGUGGGGGAACGGCCGAGCAAGGCGACGAUCCGGAGCCGGCGUGAGAGGGUGAACGGCCAGAUCGGGACUGCGACCCGGCCUCGACUCCUACGGAAGACAGCAGUAGGUAAUAUUGCACACUGGGGGAAAACCUGAUGCAGCGACGCCGCGUGAAGGAACAAGUAUCUCGGAAUGCACACUUCUAUCAGCCGAGAAGAUAGUGACGGUACCUGACUAAGAAGCCCCGGCUAACUACGUG
RNAcentral lists this ribosomal RNA (478 nucleotides) under uncultured bacterium. RNAcentral's name for it is "partial 16S ribosomal RNA". It matches the Rfam family "Bacterial small subunit ribosomal RNA", at positions 28 to 507 of the family's 1533-position model. The record is from RNAcentral.